UCUCCUGACAAAAGGUACCACUCGAAUUGCAGCUCUUUGCCCUCUCCUUCCUAAUAUGUUUAUAUCCGAUUUUAAUUCCUCUAAGGUUCUGAUUAUGUUUUCCUGAUAUCUGAAUUUCAGUAGUUUCUGCAUGUGAUUUGAUUUAGGUUUCUCUGCUCCAAUUUAUCUUCUAAACUCAUUCUAUGAUUGGAAAAGAAACUAUAAGGAUUGAAUCGUUGUUCUCAUAUUGUUGUUGUUGUGUUUUAGUAAUAACUGGCUUAUUGCUGUUUAUUUAUGAUUCAAGUUGUUAUAUAUUUUAUUUAAAUGCAAAGA
Molecule: long non-coding RNA, 312 nt
Filed under: Nicotiana benthamiana
Lineage: Eukaryota; Viridiplantae; Streptophyta; Magnoliopsida; Solanales; Solanaceae
Description: long non-coding RNA (NBEN_LNC001825)
Source: RNAcentral